AACGAACGCUGGCGGCAUGCCUAACACAUGCAAGUCGAACGAGACCUUCGGGUCUAGUGGCGCACGGGUGCGUAACGCGUGGGAACCUGCCCUUAGGUUCGGAAUAACUCCCCGAAAGGGGUGCUAAUACCGGAUAAUGUCUUCGGACCAAAGAUUUAUCGCCUUUGGUUGGGCCCGCGUUGGAUUAGCUAGUUGGUAGGGUAAAAGCCUACCAAGGUGACGAUCCAUAGCUGGUCUGAGAGGAUGAUCAGCCACACUGGGACUGAGACACGGCCCAGACUCCUACGGGAGGCAGCAGUGGGGAAUAUUGGACAAUGGGCGAAAGCAUGAACCAGCAAGGACGGGUGAGUGAUGAAGGCCUUAGGGUUGUAAAGCUCUUUUACCCGGGAUGAUAAUGACAGUACCGGGUGAAUAAGCUCCGGCUAACUCCGUG
Molecule: ribosomal RNA, 433 nt
Filed under: uncultured bacterium
Lineage: Bacteria
Description: partial 16S ribosomal RNA
Rfam family: Bacterial small subunit ribosomal RNA
Source: RNAcentral